This 188-nucleotide ribosomal RNA is filed under the name uncultured bacterium. RNAcentral describes it as "partial 16S ribosomal RNA". It matches the Rfam family "Bacterial small subunit ribosomal RNA", at positions 163 to 334 of the family's 1533-position model. The record is from RNAcentral.
CUAAUACCCGGAAUGGUCUUCAUUUCUGUUAGGGAGAUGGAGUAAAGGUGGCCUCUUCAUGAAAGCUACCGUGUAGGGAUGAGCCUGCGUACCAUUAGCUAGUAGGUGGGGUAAUGGCCCACCUAGGCUACGAUGGUUAGCGGGUCUGAGAGGAUGAUCCGCCACACUGGAACUGGGACACGGACCAG